UGUAUAGCAAUAGCUGCUUACAUCAUUGUAGAUAUGAUGUAAGAUCGACUAUGUCGAAUAAAAUUCUAGGUAGAAUUAUGAUAAUGACAUUGUCUGCCUAUGUGUCUUGACCAAAUUACGUGCCAGCAGUCGCGGUAAUACGUAGAAGCCUAGUGUUAUUCAUGUUUAAUCGGUUUAAAGGGUACCUAGACGGUAAAUCAAGCCUAAAAUAAAAUAAAUGAAGGGACUAAUUUACUAGAGUUACUUAUGAGGGGGUAUUAAAGUACUGCUGGUGUAGAGAUGAAAUUCUGUCAUACCUCUUUUCAAUAGAAAAAUAAUGGCACAGGUAUAGGCGAAAGCAUCCCCUUAUGUGAUAACUGACGUUGAGGGACGAAGGCUUUGUGUAGCGAACAGGAUUAGAUACCCCAGUAGUCAAAGCAGAAAAUGAUGAAUGUCAUAGAUUAGAAGAUAAAUAAGUUUAUUCUAUAAAUGAAAGUGUAAGCAUUCCACCUCAAGAGUAAUUUGGCAACAUUGGAACUGAAAUCAUUAGACCGUUUCUGAAACCAGUAGUGAAGUAUGUUGUUUAAUUUGAUGAUCCGCAAAAAACCUUACCACAAUUUGAAUAUUUAUAUCUUUUAUUGUUUUCUUUUUAAUUUUCUUCUGAUUUUUCUCCUUAUCUUUUUAUUAUUUUUAUAAUAAAAAAGAGAAAAUGAAUAAAAAAGAAGAAAAAAGAGACAAUAAGAUAUAUUUACAAGCGUUGCACGGCUGUCUUCAGUUAGUGUCGCGAGACUUUGGUUAGUUCCAUUAAAUUAACGUAAACCCUUACUUUAUUUUUAUAUAGAGUAGUUCCCCGCUAGAUUGGAUAUGAU
This 848-nucleotide ribosomal RNA is filed under the name Bryocaulon divergens. RNAcentral's name for it is "SSU rRNA". It matches the Rfam family "Bacterial small subunit ribosomal RNA", at positions 365 to 1148 of the family's 1533-position model. The record is from RNAcentral. Lineage: Eukaryota; Fungi; Ascomycota; Lecanoromycetes; Lecanorales; Parmeliaceae.